AAUUUUGGACAAUGGGGGAAACCCUGAUCCAGCCAUCCCGCGUGUAUGAAGAAGGCCUNCGGGUUNUNAAGUACUUUUGGCAGAGNAGAAAAGGUACCUCCUAAUACGAGGUACUGCUGACGGUAUCUGCAGAAUAAGCACCGGCUCACUACGUGCCAGCAGCCGCGGUAAUACGCAGGGUGCAAGCGUUAAUCGGAAUUACUGGGCGUAAAGCGUGUGCAGGCGGUUCGGAAAGAAAGAUGUGAAAUCCCAAGGCGCAACCUUGGGACUGCAUUUUGAACUGCCAAGCUAGAGUAGGUCAGAGGGGAGUAGAAUUCCACGUGUAGCAGUGAAAUGCGUAGAUAUGUGGAGGAAUACCGAUGGCGAAGGCAGCCCCCUGGGAUAAUACUGACGCUCAGACACGAAAGCGUGGGGAGCAAACA
Molecule: ribosomal RNA, 422 nt
Filed under: uncultured bacterium
Lineage: Bacteria
Description: partial 16S ribosomal RNA
Rfam family: Bacterial small subunit ribosomal RNA
Source: RNAcentral